GACGUAGGGUGCGAGCGUUGUCCGGAUUUAUUGGGCGUAAAGAGCUCGUAGGCGGCUCGUCGCGUCGACCGUGAAAACCCGCGGCUUAACUGCGGGCUUGCGGUUGAUACGGGCGGGCUAGAGUUCGGUAGGGGAGACUGGAAUUCCUGGUGUAGCGGUGAAAUGCGCAGAUAUCAGGAGGAACACCGGUGGCGAAGGCGGGUCUCUGGGCCGAUACUGACGCUGAGGCGCGAAAGCUAGGGGAGCAAACGGG
Molecule: ribosomal RNA, 253 nt
Filed under: uncultured bacterium
Lineage: Bacteria
Description: partial 16S ribosomal RNA
Rfam family: Bacterial small subunit ribosomal RNA
Source: RNAcentral